Alligator mississippiensis (American alligator) is the source of this 6282-nucleotide long non-coding RNA. RefSeq lists it as uncharacterized. The transcript has 3 exons. The record is from RefSeq and is a predicted model, not a curated record. Lineage: Eukaryota; Metazoa; Chordata; Crocodylia; Alligatoridae.
CAUAACAGCACUGAAAAAGCAAACGCAAGCAUAGUAGAAAGCAAAAUAGAAUGGAGUGAGAUCCAGUACCCACCAUUUAACAUUAUUUCUAUGAAGAUAAAAGCUACUUUAUAGUAAGAUUAACAGGCAGAGGGUAGGGUAUUUUGAGUUAUCUUUAUGACGUCAAAAAUUGGUUUGACUAUGGUGCACGCACUCGGGAAGCAAAGGUCAUGGAAAUACUACCCAUUUCUUGAUGCUUCCAGAUAAUUUCUCCAGGGCACCUCUGGAUGGAAAACACUACAGAAGCUACUGCUUCUGAUGAUAAGAAACAACUGGGAGUAGGAGUCUUUACUGAUGCAGCUGUAAUAAUUCAAUCAUAUAACUUAAGUGUGUGAAUUUGACUUCUCAGCAUGACCCUUUUGAGAAUUUUUUCCUCAGUGAUUUCUGCAAACAAAAUCCCUUUAAAUGUGUUAAGCUGGGUGCACAAAAUCACUAAACAUUUUUUAAAAAUCAGACUGAUGCUUAGCAUAUUUAUAAACCAACCCAAUAUACCUUCACGUAAACAAGAAAUCCAUUCCUGCUUCUACUCAAGAGCUUCAGCUUUAAGAAAAACAGACGACUAAACGCAAGAAUUACCAACGGUAUCUAAUUGACUAAAUCGAACUGUUUGUUUCAAACUUUUGUAAUGAUUCAAAGUUUAGUCCUGAAUCUUGUUGUUGAUGGGGCUGUCUCCCCCACCCCUUUUUCAGUUCUUCUUAUUCAUGUUCUAUCAUGCUAGACUGAUUUGGUUCCAGGACUAAGUGAAAAGGAAAGGAAAAGGAAGAGAGAGAUAAAAAACCUAAAUGAAUACAAUAUUUUCCAAGUAGUAAGAUCUGUUUAAAUGCAGAUUUGCCCUGAUUUUCCAGGGCAUGUAGAAUAGUAAACGACCUGUGUCUUAACUGGACAGGAUACUCAACAAACUAAAAAAAGAAGAUUACAUUGAUGAACAGCAUCCCACAAAUCUGGAAUAUUUUUAGGCCAAGAUUUUUAGGAAUGGGUUCUUUAUAUUAGAUUCCAAGUUCUUAUGCAAACAUCUCUAUAAAAUAGCUGUUCAGGGUUUUUUUGCUUUGUUUUGUUUUGUUUUUUGUUUUCUUAAUGAUGAGAAUACAGAAGCAAAUACUAGAUUCCAGAGUCUUUUUAAAACUGACCAGAAACUAUACCUUUUUUUCAUUAUUCUAUUGAUGAUUCACAUCUAAACUUUCCACAUGACAAUUAAAGUGCUGCCAACUAAGAUCUAAAGAAAAAUGAAUGUUGUUGCUGUUGAUGCAAAACUCCACUAUUUCCUCUAUGUGCCAUUUACUGCAACAAAAAACAGAGUGCAAAGCUCAACAAUGAUAGUUUGAGAGGAUCGCAACAGGACCAGUGCUGAAAUUCCCCAGUGACACAAGGGAAGAGGUGAAGUAAAAGCCAACACUGAGAUGUGAAUGUAGGAAAGGUUAUUUGACCAGCCAUGUACUUACAAAUCCAUCCAGAAUCUCUUCUGGUAAUCUGGCCACCAGGAGUGGAUGGCAUUUGGGAUGAAGCAAAUUUCUAAUAGGUUGGCUGUUAGGAGGGAGAAGUGGGAAUGAAGUAAACUGUCUCAAAGGACAGGAGGACACAGCAGAGAAAAUGGUAUUCUGGGAAGUCCUGAGGUAUGUAUAGAUGAGAUCAUGCCCUGCUGAACCUUUUUAUUAUUGUUAUAAACUUCACAUGAAGCAAAGCCAGAAUGCAGAAUGAUACUGAAGAAUCACCAGAGACUAGAGUCUGAAUAUUAUCUCUCUCAUUAACAAAAAUCCUAUGGGGACCAUCUUUAAAUGCACUGAUUUCAAACCUGGAGAAUGAAUAACUACUUUGGAUACAUAAUAUGAGGGGCACAGCAAAGCUGGAAGAAAUUCCAAUUAUUUCAGUUAAUAUUUUCAGAUUUUCAGUGCUUCAUUUAAUUUCGACCAGAGAUUGUUCUGUGGUAUGAUGAUUUUAUAGACGUAUAGUACAUCUUGGUUCCACUGAAGUUAGCAAAGGUGUUACUGUUCACUUCAAGCAGAUCGGCUAUACCACUACGUGUUGUGGCACAGCAGAUCUGCUUCACUGGGCAAAACACGUUGCCUAUUGACCAACCUGUGAUGGUGUGGGACAAGGGACAGUGGGAUCUCCCUGCUUUCUCUGCUCAGCCAGAUCCAUGCCCCAGGGAAAGCACUUUUCCCUACUCAACCAGACCUGGGUCAUAAUUCUGGCUGAGCAAGGGAAGCACCACAGAGGUUACAUACAUCUACCGCAAUAAAGUGGCAGAGUCCGUUACCACCUUUGGUGUGUCACUGAUUUUCCUUUCAUGUAGUGCAACAAAGGGUGAGAACAUAUAUUUGAUAAACAUUUGUGCUUCUAUAAAAAAAUGUUAUGGAGCCAGGAAUAGGACAUCAUGAGAUGUAUGUUUCCACCCAUAGAAUCAAGGGUUUAUUCUCUGAACAAUGACACAUUACUACACAUGAUUAUGAUGAUCCUUUCUGAAAUGCAGGAGUACAUUCUACUUCUCUUUGAACAGCUGCAUAGCUAUUUUGUAUAGCGCUUUUUAGUACAAAUUGCAUAAUUAUGAUGUCAAUGUUUAGAACAUCAUGUACAGUCCUACACUAUUGAUGCAUGUUUUAGGGACAUAUUUGUGUAACCUCUUUAGUUAAUAAGAUGUUCCUUUGUGACUUCUUGGAUAAAAUAAGAAAAUUACUACUGACCCUGUUUGUAGGUAUUGUAUUGUUCUGAUUAUAAAUAAACCUUUCUUUCCUCAGAAACAACCAUAAAAUAAGAGUCAACUUAGAUGGUGUUGACCUGUAAUGAGAAUAAUAGGGUCAUCUGUUCUGUACAAUAGUAUUAUAUGGAAAAUCUUAAGGGCCAUCUACCCUGGUAGGCUUAGCUUGCACGGGGAACCUCUGCAGUGGAAUGACAUGAAUUUAUUUUAGCUCACCAUUCCCAGAGAUCUCCUUGCUCUGUUCUGCUGGAGUAGGAGGCAUCAUGAAGCUAGGAGCUCAGAAAACCCUAAGAUUUUUUGCAUCAAUCUGAGGCCUCCAGAGCUAUGGCUCCACAGUAGGAAGCUGUAAAGCACAUGCAGACUUUCCCAUGCAGCCUGGUGCUGGCCAGGAACUGUCAUGGUCAAGAGCAAGUCCCAGCCCCAUGCCUGUUUGGGUAAUUGAGGCAUGGGGCUUAGAAAGAGCUGCAGGGGUGGGGCAAGUCCCAGCCCCUUGUUCUGAUCUGCUGGUGGGGCAGCUAGCUAGCUGCUGGCUGCCUCCCUGGUGAAUUGGGGCAGGGCCUGGGACCUGCCCCUCCCCUAUAGAUCUUUCCAAGCCUUGUACCCCUUAUUGGGAAGCCAGGGCCAGGAGGUCCCUGCUGCCAGGGCAGGGGGACAUUGUCCCCACCCCAGCAGCAGGCAGCCCCCUGGGGCCAGGAGACAGCUGUCUUCUCACCCAGUUCUUCCUGCCAGCCUCUGGGUUAGCAGGGAGAAGGGUGAAGAUAUCAAUGAAAUCACCAUUUUUGGCUAAAAUCUAGAACUAAUAGGAUGCUAGUAAAUUCAGAUAAAAAAGCCAAUACCACUACAAGUGACAUGGGGUGCCUGACUGUACAUAAUUUAAAAGUGUGUAGAGCUGGGAAACCAUGGAGCUGCGCCUCCAGUAUUCUUUGCCAUUAUGGUUUACAAGAACUUGCUGACUUAUGCAUAGUGCUGGUCAGAAAAGUUCUAGGAAAACCUUUCUUUUGGAAAAUGACAUUUUGUCAAACCUUAUUUUGAUUACAUUUUAUUUUUAAAAAAUUGAUAAAAUGUUCUGACAUUCAGAAUGGAAUGUUUUCAUUUUUUGUCUGAGACUGCCUUUUACUUUAGAAUAUAUAAUAUUACAAAAAAAAAUCAAUAUAAAAAUGAAUGGAUGGAGCCAUAAUUUCAUCAGGGAAUCUUGAGAUUCCCUGUAUACCAAAAGAAAAUAUUGAAAUCAUAUAAUUGCCCAUAAAACAGAAAUAGGGUUUCUUCUGUAGCUCUAAUUAUGGAAGUUCUGUGUGCAGAGAAGGACAAAACUGGAAGCAAUGAGUUGAUCAUGAUUCUUUUCUAGUUGAAAUACAGUUCAGAAAGCGUGUGAUGUGAUGUUUUUAAUAAUGCCUUUUCUUGUUUUUUUUUUCUCCUCCAGUAUAAGAGUUCAGUAUAAAAACAGCAACAAAAAUGUCAUUUGUAAUAUUGUACUAUAUCUCUGUUGACAGCAUAGAACUACAGUAUUUAUCUUCCUAUUUGUUUGGACAUCUUCUAGGACACUAUAGGGUCACCAGAAUAAUGACUCCAAAGAUGUUUUAAAUUUUCCAUUACAUAACACAGUAUAUAGACUUUUAUAUAAUCAAACAGGUAAAAUAGUAUCUGAGCAGUCAAAUAACUCAUUAGCAACUCCUUUCAGUCUGUUGCAUAAAACCACGUCCCUAAAAGUUUAGUUGAAUUGAAUUAAAGGACCACAACCAGAAAGGUAAUUUUGCUGAUGUCCCUAUAAGGUACAUUAUCCUUUUGCCCAAAGCUACAGGAAUUAUGCUCUCCCAAUAAUGUUGUCUAAGUGCCAGUAAUUCUUUUGCAAAAUGCCUCGUCUCCUACUGAGCAUGAAGGCAUUCUAUGUAAGUGCAUGGCAUUAUAAUUUACCACAUCUCUAAAUGCUUUCUCUAGACUUUUCCUGAAAUGUAAAUCAAAAUAUGGAAAUGUGGUGUAUAUAUAAAUGAUAUAUUCUAAUGUAAUAUGCCAAUUCCAGCACUUAGUUUCUGAAGUGUCCACCCAAACUUAAUCAGUGCUCAGUUAUUUCCUUAACUAUGUCUCGCAUUUAGUCUCUUGAUACUCUUAAACAGUCUAACACUGUCAGGAAAAUAUUUUAUUUUCCUUUCAUAACUUGGCUAGAUGAUCAAAUUCUUAGCCAAGACUGAUGCAAAGAACUCCAACUGUCUCCAUCCAAUUUGUCAUUCUUUCACCCACUGCAGUUUAGAAGCACUGAUUAUCUGCCCUUUGUUUUUCGUUGCCCCCCAAACCCAAAGGAUUCAAACAUUAGGAUGUUGAUGCAAAACUCUGACACAUCCUUGUGAUGGGAGAGUAGAAAAUUGAAUUUCCUGCUCCCACCCAGCAGGACUACUAGUUAAGCAGCUGACAUUGUUGUGUGCUGUAAUGUACAGAGCUUCAGUUUUCAGUGUUCACUCAUAACUCAGGGUAUUCAGCUUCCUAUUUGUGAAAUUACAGGAGAAUCUGUCACCCACAUGCAGCUUCUGAAACUAUUCGAGCCCGAGCCAUAAUGUAGUGGACUAUAGAAAGUAGAUCUACCAAUCAUGUUUCCUCUGUUGAGAAUGACUUAGGCUCUUGUGAUAAUGGAGAAGAAGGAGCCAAAUAAUCUUCAGAUGGUCUUUGAAACAUAUGAAAGCAGCACAGUUCUUUACAGUUUUGGUUGGCAGGGUCCCCUGAACAUCAUGGCUUUGGUUUUAAACAGUGAGGGAUUGUUUCCUUGAAAUUCCUUAUGUUUCCAAUCCUAUUAAACUUCCAAAUCUUUCCAAUGGCUAGUGCAAGAAUUACAGCUCUCAAUUUAGGGGGAUGUUCUACUCAGUUAAACCCUCUGUGCUUCGUUUUCUUAGGGUAAAAUCUACAUCAAUGAAGUCAAUAACAAAAUUUUAAUUUACUUAAGUGAUUACAGGUUUUAACUUACAGUUUGUCAACCCUGAAUAAUUUCUUAUUCCCAGAGGUAUUUGCAGAAUAUACUUGUGCAUGAACUGUAUUAUGAACUGAGAUGGAAGGAAAAAUAGAACAGGCAAGGAUUUUUUUUUUUUUUUUUUUAAGUACAACUCACUAGGUUCUUAGUGCAAUUCUCCCUUACAUAUGCAGCCCAGUAUCAUCUGGUUCCCACAAAAUGCAAUCAACCCAUUUAAACUAUAGGCAAAUGCUGAUGUACUCAUUCAUCUAGUCCAUUUUGUGCCAUGUUAACAUCCCUGAUGGAAAGUAUCUGGCAAUCCAAUGUGGUAUGAAGUUUGCACCACUAAUGGCAUUAAAAAAGGUGAUGUACCCUAGCCUAAAAAAAAAAAAAAUUCUAAUCACAUAAGGACUGGAGAGUUCAGCAUUACCCACAUUCAUUAACCACUUUGUAGCCAUUAUAGUGGAAUAGAAGAUUUUGCUUGAAAAUCUUACUUUACAAAUAAUGAUUGUCAAGUAAAUUGUUUUGUACCAAUAUUUAGGGAUUUGGCAUGUUCAUUGUGAAUUAUUUGACUAUGUAUUCCUAAUAAAAUUUUGUUUACAUACAUUUCAAAAGUCAA